AGCGAACGCUGGCGGCAUGCCUUACACAUGCAAGUCGAACGGCAGCGGGGGAGAAGCUUGCUUUUCCUGCCGGCGAGUGGCGAACGGGUGAGUAAUACAUCGGAACGUGCCCUGUAGUGGGGGAUAACUAGUCGAAAGAUUAGCUAAUACCGCAUACGACCUGAGGGUGAAAGUGGGGGACCGCAAGGCCUCAUGCUAUAGGAGCGGCCGAUGUCUGAUUAGCGAGUUGGUGGGGUAAAGGCCUACCAAGGCGACGAUCAGUAGCUGGUCUGAGAGGACGAUCAGCCACACUGGGACUGAGACACGGCCCAGACUCCUACGGGAGGCAGCAGUGGGGAAUUUUGGACAAUGGGCGAAAGCCUGAUCCAGCAAUGCCGCGUGUGUGAAGAAGGCCUUCGGGUUGUAAAGCACUUUUGUCCGGAAAGAAAUGGCUCUGGUUAAUACCUGGGGUCGAUGACGGUACCGGAAGAAUAAGGACCGGCUAACUACGUGCCAGCAGCCGCCGCGG
RNAcentral lists this ribosomal RNA (508 nucleotides) under uncultured bacterium. RNAcentral describes it as "partial 16S ribosomal RNA". It matches the Rfam family "Bacterial small subunit ribosomal RNA", at positions 29 to 523 of the family's 1533-position model. The record is from RNAcentral.